AGAGUUUGAUCAUGGCUCAGGACGAACGCUUGGCGGCGUGCGUAAUACAUGCAAGUAGAACGCUGAAGACUGGUGCUUUGCACUAGUCAGAUGAGUUGCGAACGGGUGAGUAACGCGUAGGUAACCUACCUUAUAGCGGGGGAUAACUAUUGGAAACGAUAGCUAAUACCGCAUGACAAUUAAGUACUCAUGUACUAAAUUUAAAAGGAGCAAUUGCUUCACUAUGAGAUGGACCUGCGUUGUAUUAGCUAGUUGGUGAGGUAACGGCUCACCAAGGCCACGAUACAUAGCCGACCUGAGAGGGUGAUCGGCCACACUGGGACUGAGACACGGCCCAGACUCCUACGGGAGGCAGCAGUAGGGAAUCUUCGGCAAUGGGGGCAACCCUGACCGAGCAACGCCGCGUGAGUGAAGAAGGUUUUCGGAUCGUAAAGCUCUGUUGUUAGAGAAGAACGGUAAUGGGAGUGGAAAAUCCAUUACGUGACGGUAACUAACCAGAAAGGGACGGCUAACUACGUGCCAGCAGCCGCGGUAAUACGUAGGUCUCGAGCGUUGUCCGGAUUUAUUGGGCGUAAAGCGAGCGCAGGCGGUUAUUUAAGUCUGAAGUUAAAGGCCGUGGCUCAACCAUGGUUCGCUUUGGAAACUGGAUAACUUGAGUGCAGAAGGGGAGAGUGGAAUUCCAUGUGUAGCGGUGAAAUGCGUAGAUAUAUGGAGGAACACCGGUGGCGAAAGCGGCUCUCUGGUCUGUAACUGACGCUGAGGCUCGAAAGCGUGGGGAGCAAACAGGAUUAGAUACCCUGGUAGUCCACGCCGUAAACGAUGAGUGCUAGGUGUUAGGCCCUUUCCGGGGCUUAGUGCCGCAGCU
This 865-nucleotide ribosomal RNA is filed under the name uncultured bacterium. RNAcentral describes it as "bacterial SSU rRNA". It matches the Rfam family "Bacterial small subunit ribosomal RNA", at positions 8 to 853 of the family's 1533-position model. The record is from RNAcentral.